AACGGUCUAUACCUGCGGUACCUGCGGAAGGAUCAUUAUAGAGUGGUAAACCCCCCGUAAAAGGGGGGGACCUCCUGUCCUUUGUAGGCUCUUUUUUAAAAGGGCUUUUUUUAAUUUUCUGCUUCGGUGGGGUUAUCCCACCGGAACAACCUCAAAACUCUUAUCAAAAAAUCGUUCUGUCUGAGAACCUUUUAUAAUAAAAAAAAACUUUUAACAAUGGAUCUCUAGAUCGGAAGAGCA
RNAcentral lists this unclassified non-coding RNA (240 nucleotides) under soil metagenome. RNAcentral describes it as "partial contains 5.8S ribosomal RNA, internal transcribed spacer 2, and large subunit ribosomal RNA". The record is from RNAcentral.